RNAcentral lists this unclassified non-coding RNA (258 nucleotides) under Hevea brasiliensis (rubber tree). Lineage: Eukaryota; Viridiplantae; Streptophyta; Magnoliopsida; Malpighiales; Euphorbiaceae. The record is from RNAcentral.
CCUGCGCGAAGCCCCAUUAUCUUCAUAGACUUCCUCGUGAGGUUCUUCCCAGCCCAGGUUCACAGCCAGGUCUUCCACAGCAACUUUAAUCACAUCACUCCGAACACCUAUAUCAGUAGCGUAUCUGCUCAUACAGUACAUUCCGGCUGUUACUGUUGCAACACCAACAGGACUUGGCAUUAGCAACUUUAAAGGGGACGACAGGAGAGCAGCUAAUGGAGCACCAAUGACUGAAGAAGCUUGACCACUUCUUCCAAC